UAUAUAUAUAUAUAUAUAUAUACUUAGACAUAGUUCAAAAUAAAUAAAAAAUAAGAUCAAAUAUCAUCAUUAAUUUACCAUAGCCUAGCUCUCUUACUAUCAGAAUCCCCACAAAACCCCAGGCAACAUUCAUGUGAACCUCAAGUGCUAUCAAUUCGACUACAACAACCUUUUCUGAUACUAUCACCAAUCGAUAACCCUCAAAUCCAUGCCCUACCUUUACUUGUGCUAAUGUAGUAACUAGUAAGCAAAAUUGUCAAGACAUUUAACACACAGGAUCGCUAACUUCUUUAACAAUACUAUAACCAAACUGAAGAACUCAAACAAAAUAGGAUCAACGAGUAUUAACACCAUUCCAGCUACAUCUACGGCCUCUUUUACUCGCAGCAUGGUUUGAACAUGUCGAACCCAUAGAAUGAUUCAAAUAAAUUAAAAACAGGUGAACGAAAGAGAGAGAUACUGCAACAGAAUUCUUCAGUUUUUCUUCUUCAAAACACCACAUGGGUUGGCCUUUACAUUUUGAGAUAAAAGAGUAAGUUCCUGGAUAUGACACAACAGAAUCAGAAGUUGAUUUAGAGAUUCAGAAGGAGCAGCAACAACAGUACGCAACAGAAGCAGUAAUUCAGCAGAAAUCAACUUGAACCAAUCAAUGAAACAGUGUUUUGAAACAAGAAACCCAGACCCGCCUUUACAAUACUUCAAAUUCGACUUAUUCUAAACCAGAUUUAGCUAUUGAUACCAAAUCAAAAUACCCUCAAAUUCCAGUGAAUCAGAACAUACUUCAGCAAUUAAACCUUCAGGAGUUAUAAGAAAAACAAUUUGAUGGAACAGUACUUAUUUUGAUCUUUUAGCCGUCUGAAGUUUUUCGGAUUUUUAGCUCUCCUUUUUUGAAUGCUCCCUUCUUCUUGCCUUGAAAGGCAAGAAUGAUAUCUUAUAUAUGCUUAGCAAUAGGGAAAAACUUCAGAUUUCAUUUUUCACCCUUUUGCCCCCUUUAAUUCUUGUUUUAGCCUAGGGACCCCUGGAUUCUUAACUUGUUCCCCAAGUUCCAUUACUUAAAAGUCUGAAAUUCCAAUCCCAC
RNAcentral lists this long non-coding RNA (1078 nucleotides) under Nicotiana benthamiana. Its description in RNAcentral is "long non-coding RNA (NBEN_LNC020022)". Lineage: Eukaryota; Viridiplantae; Streptophyta; Magnoliopsida; Solanales; Solanaceae. The record is from RNAcentral.